UACGUAGGGGGCUAGCGUUGUCCGGAAUCAUUGGGCGUAAAGAGCGUGUAGGCGGCUCGGUAAGUCCGCUGUGAAAGUCCAGGGCUCAACCCUGGAAUGCCAGUGGAACCUGUCGAGCUAGAGUCCGGAAGAGGCGAGUGGAAUUCCUGGUGUAGCGGUGAAAUGCGCAGAUAUCAGGAGGAACACCGAUGGCGAAGGCAGCUCGCUGGGACGGUACUGACGCUGAGGCGCGAAAGCGUGGGGAGCGAACAGG
This 253-nucleotide ribosomal RNA is filed under the name uncultured bacterium. RNAcentral describes it as "partial 16S ribosomal RNA". It matches the Rfam family "Bacterial small subunit ribosomal RNA", at positions 524 to 776 of the family's 1533-position model. The record is from RNAcentral.